This is a long non-coding RNA of Dreissena polymorpha, 2198 nucleotides long. RefSeq lists it as uncharacterized. The record is from RefSeq and is a predicted model, not a curated record. NCBI's taxonomy places the organism in Eukaryota, Metazoa, Mollusca, Bivalvia, Myida, Dreissenidae. The transcript is spliced from 3 exons.
AGGUUUGUAUUGUCAUUUCUUCAUCCUUUUUUAUUAAGUUUACUGAAUUAAUUAUGAUCAUUAUUAUAUUUAUGUAUUGUCACUGGGAAAUGUAAAUUGAUAAGUUAAUGUAUUGCAACUUAAAGGAAAAACAACACAAUUUGAUGCAAAAAUAGAUGAACAUACACAUGACAAAGUGUAAAUGUUGUGUACAGUGAAUUAUUGUGGUUGUGUUUUAUGAUUAUUUUCAUCUUUAUUGUUAUUUAUAGAUAUUUCUGGUUAUUACUGAACAGAUUUCUUUCCCUCAUAUUUUAAUUUUGAAGGUUAAACUCUUGCCCCAAGAGCAAAAGGGGUAAUCAUACUACCUGAUGUAUGGACUUUUACACCAGGCUUUUACCCUGCACGAGCUGGCCAACUUGAGGGGAACUGAAGUGGGCAAACCUCGCCCUGUCCUUGAACAAGAAAGCUGGAUUUGUUGAGAGAGUAUCAUUUAAGCUGAAAUCCAGCAUGAAACCAGGGAGGUGAUGGCCAUCGCACAGGCCAUGUGCCGACUAUUCACUUUCCACCAGCUUGUGACUUGCUCCAUGAAGGGAGCAACAACUACAACUGGAUCACCAAGACCAAGCCUCCCCGCUGCUGAGAGAAAUGCAAUCAUUGAUGUCAUAGCCAAAACCGUUGACAAGCCUCUGGUUGAUGUUGAAGAAAAGAUGAGAGGUUGUUUAAGGCAUCUGCGGCUGAUGAACAACUAGACUGAAGUCUUUGUAAAUAAAAUGUGCUGUUAAAAUGAUUAUUUAACCAUUGUUUUCACUUUGUUAUAUAGAUUUGCACCUGUUUCAACAACAUUAACUUAUUUUUAUGCUCCCGGUAGGGUCUCAUAUAGCAGUUGAUCUGUCUGAUCCUUAAUCUGUCUGUCUUUCCGUCCGAAAACUUAGCAUUGGUCAUAACUUUUGCAAUAUUGAAGAAAGCAACUUGAUAUUUAGCAUGCAUGAGUAUCUCAUUGAGCUGCACAUUUUGAGUGGUGCAAGGUCACGUUCAUCCUUCAAGGUCAGAGGUCAAAAUCCAAUGUAAGUAAUAAGCAAAGAGAGAAAAUUUCUAUACCUGCCAAAUGAUAAAUAGAAAUUUUAUUUCAAAGCGGCGCAGUAGGGGGCAUUGUGUUUCUGACCAACACAUCUCUUGUUUGUAUUUAUUCCAUACAAUCUUACUUUUUUCAGUUCUUUCUUUGUGUUCAAUGUUAUGUUAUAACACUAUUAUAUUUUAUUAUAACAAUGCCAUGUCUGUCAAAAUAGUUUUAUCAUGUUGUGUAUAUGGAUAUAUAUGUAAAGUUUUAUGUUUUAGCGUUUAAAAAAGUAAUUAGAAUAUAAUUUAUGAUAUUUUUGUUCAUAAUAAAGUUGUUCAGUUUUCAAGUGGGUGAAAAGUGGGUUUUUACUGAGCAUUUAACAGGUUUUAAAGCUAGUUUUAACUGCGUUUAAUCUGUGAAAAACACACAUUUAGCUCACUUAAUGCUCAAAUAAAAACCCACUUUAAACUCGCUUACAACAGGAAAAACCGACUUGAUGUGUAGAAGCGGGUGUAAAAGCCAACAUAAAGAAGGAAAACACACUAUCUUUUAACCAACUUAAGUUGGUAAAACUCGGUUUUAAAGCGUGUUUUAACUGCGUUUAAUCUGAGUUAAGCACACAUUUAGCUCACUUAACACUCAAACAAAUCCCCACUUCUAACUCGCUUAAGAACAGGAAAAACCGACUUGAUAUGAAGAAGCAGGUUUAAAAGCCAACAUAAAGAAGGAAAACACACUCACUUUAACCAACUUAAGUUGGUAUAAGACGGUUUUAAAGUAAGUUUAAACUGCGCUUAAUCUGUGAAAAGCACACAUUUAGCUCACUUAACGCUCAAACAAAAACCCACUUUUCACUCGCUUUAGAACAGGAAAAACCGACUUGAUGUGUAGAAGCGGGUUUAAAAGCCAACAAAGAGAAGGAAAACACACUCACUUUUAACCCACUUAAGUUGGUUUAAGUUAGUUUUAGUUGGUAUAAGAAGGUAUAAGCGUGUUGGUUUAUGUGAGUGAAAUCCAGGUUUUACCUACAAAAAACCAAGUCGGUAAGCAAAAAGUGUGUUUAAAAGACACGCUUUAACCCGGUGCCAAUACCGCAGGGUUUAACACGGUUUUAACACGGAUUAAAACCGGGUUUUGCCCACUUUUUUGACAAGGGGAAGCU